AUGCUCUCUUUGGCAGUACAUAAACUAAACAUUGGAAUGAUGCAGAGAAGAUUGGCAUGACCCCUGCCCAAGGAUGACACGCAAAUUUGUGAAGCGUUCCAUAUUUUU
Molecule: small nuclear RNA, 108 nt
Filed under: Phascolarctos cinereus (koala)
Lineage: Eukaryota; Metazoa; Chordata; Mammalia; Diprotodontia; Phascolarctidae
Source: RNAcentral